CCUACGGGAGGCAGCAGUGAGGAAUAUUGGUCAAUGGGCGCGAGCCUGAACCAGCCAAGUAGCGUGAAGGAUGACUGCCCAACGGGUUGUAAACUUCUUUUAUAAAGGAAUAAAGUGAGGCACGUGUGCCUUUUUGUAUGUACUUUAUGAAUAAGGAUCGGCUAACUCCGUGCCAGCAGCCGCGGUAAUACGGAGGAUCCGAGCGUUAUCCGGAUUUAUUGGGUUUAAAGGGAGCGUAGAUGGGUUGGUAAGUCAGUUGUGAAAGUUUGCGGCUCAACCGUAAAAUUGCAAUUGAUACUGGCAGCCUUGAGUGCAGUUGAGGUAGGCGGAAUGCGUGGUGUAGCGGUGAAAUGCUUAGAUAUCACGAAGAACUCCGAUUGCGAAGGCAGCUUACUAAACUGCAACUGACAUUGAUGCUCGAAAGUGUGGGUAUCAAACAGGAUUAGAUACCCGAGUAGUC
RNAcentral lists this ribosomal RNA (460 nucleotides) under uncultured bacterium. Its description in RNAcentral is "partial 16S ribosomal RNA". It matches the Rfam family "Bacterial small subunit ribosomal RNA", at positions 338 to 795 of the family's 1533-position model. The record is from RNAcentral.